GACGAACGCUGGCGGCGUGCCUAAUACAUGCAAGUCGAGCGAAGUUUUUCUGGUGCUUGCACUAGAAACACUUAGCGGCGAACGGGUGAGUAACACGUAAAGAACCUGCCUCAUAGACUGGGACAACUAUUGGAAACGAUAGCUAAUACCGGAUAACAGUAUUUCUCGCAUGAGAGAUAUUUAAAAGUUGGUUAUGCUAACACUAUGAGAUGGCUUUGCGGUGCAUUAGCUAGUUGGCGGGGUAAAGGCCCACCAAGGCGACGAUGCAUAGCCGACCUGAGAGGGUGAUCGGCCACACUGGGACUGAGACACGGCCCAGACUCCUACGGGAGGCAGCAGUAGGGAAUCUUCCGCAAAGGGCGAAAGCCUGACGGAGCAACGCCGCGUGAGUGAAGAAGGAUUUCGGUUCGUAAAGCUCUGUUGUUAGGGAAGAAUGGAUAUGUAGUAACUAUACAUGUAAGAGACGGUACCUAACCAGAAAGCCACGGCUAACUACGUG
RNAcentral lists this ribosomal RNA (499 nucleotides) under uncultured bacterium. RNAcentral describes it as "partial 16S ribosomal RNA". It matches the Rfam family "Bacterial small subunit ribosomal RNA", at positions 28 to 507 of the family's 1533-position model. The record is from RNAcentral.